This 910-nucleotide ribosomal RNA is filed under the name uncultured bacterium. Its description in RNAcentral is "bacterial SSU rRNA". It matches the Rfam family "Bacterial small subunit ribosomal RNA", at positions 83 to 990 of the family's 1533-position model. The record is from RNAcentral.
ACUUCGGUCCUAGCGGCGAACGGGUGAGGAAUGCUUGGGAAUCUGCCCAGUAGCGGGGGAUAACGUUUCGAAAGGAACGCUAAUACCGCAUACGCCCUACGGGGGAAAGGGGGGGAUCUUCGGACCUCUCACUAUUGGAUGAGCCCAAGUCGGAUUAGCUAGUUGGUGAGGUAAAGGCUCACCAAGGCGACGAUCCGUAGCUGGUCUGAGAGGAUGAUCAGCCACACUGGAACUGAGACACGGUCCAGACUCCUACGGGAGGCAGCAGUGGGGAAUAUUGGACAAUGGGCGAAAGCCUGAUCCAGCCAUGCCGCGUGUGUGAAGAAGGCCUUCGGGUUGUAAAGCACUUUAAGCGAGGAGGAGGGGCUCUAGGUUAAUACCUUGGAGCAUUGACGUUACUCGCAGAAUAAGCACCGGCUAACUCUGUGCCAGCAGCCGCGGUAAUACAGAGGGUGCAAGCGUUAAUCGGAAUUACUGGGCGUAAAGCGCGCGUAGGCGGUUACGUAAGUUGGGUGUGAAAUCCCCGGGCUCAACCUGGGAAUUGCACUCAAAACUGCGUGGCUAGAGUGUGGGAGAGGAAGGUAGAAUUCCAGGUGUAGCGGUGAAAUGCGUAGAUAUCUGGAGGAAUACCGAUGGCGAAGGCAGCCUUCUGGCCUAACACUGACGCUGAGGUGCGAAAGCAUGGGGAGCAAACAGGAUUAGAUACCCUGGUAGUCCAUGCCGUAAACGAUGUCUACUAGCCGUUGGGGGACUUGAUCCUUUAGUGGCGCAGCUAACGCAUUAAGUAGACCGCCUGGGGAGUACGGUCGCAAGACUAAAACUCAAAUGAAUUGACGGGGGCCCGCACAAGCGGUGGAGCAUGUGGUUUAAUUCGAUGCAACGCGAAGAACCUUACCUGUCUUGACAUGUC